This is a long non-coding RNA of Canis lupus familiaris (dog), 2578 nucleotides long. RefSeq lists it as uncharacterized. The record is from RefSeq and is a predicted model, not a curated record. The transcript has 4 exons. NCBI's taxonomy places the organism in Eukaryota, Metazoa, Chordata, Mammalia, Carnivora, Canidae.
CCCUUGUACAGGGCUUUGCGCUUGCGCGACUCCGCUGUGCUUGGCUUGGGGCGGCCGCUGUGGUCCAAGGGGUCCCUGGGCAGCAUCUGCCGGUUGCCAACCAUGCAGUUGGGGGAGGCUUGGCCUCCACUCAGGUCAGCAGUAAAGCAAAGGACUCCUUGAGGAGCAAUAGGCCUUCACGAUACACAUGGAAGUGCCAGCCACCUGGGACUCCUCGAACACGUGGCCCUCCUUCCUGUUGAAGACACUGUAGAGGCCGCCAGCCAGUUCCUCCAGCCGCUGAAGCUCCGCCGGGUGGAUAGGCUGGUGCCGGCUGUCCGUGUGCUGCAGCAAAGACGGUGCCACCGGUGGGGUGGUCGGGAUGGUGUCCUUGUACAGAGCCACAUCGUAGAAGUCAAAGCCCACGCCUCGCACGUUCUCCUGGCAUGGCAGCCCCACUGGCAUCCAGCCACCGUGGUCUCCUUUUCUUUGCCAAGAGAAUAGAAAAUGAAGAAACAUUCUUCCAAUCCAGUUGUGAAGUUAUAAAUACCCUGCUAACAAAACUGGACUAAAAAAAAGUGUAAUAAAGAACUAAAACAAAAGGUGGAGCGAUGGAAGGAAGAAGGCAGCCUGAAUAUGCACCUUGGAACCAGAGGAACAAUGAGCUCACAAACAGCCAUCUGGAAUAAGCCUGAUUGAUCAUAUUGAGAGAGUUUAGUGGAGGAGAGUGCCACCCUCUGCUUGGUUUCAGCAAUAACAAAUCCAACGGGAUGCUACAGGGAAGUAUUGUUAUAUUGUGUUCCAGCUAUGUCAACACUGGGUUGUUUGAUAACAACCAAUAUUAAGAGAUAUAAAGGGGUAUAAAAGCAGUGGGUAGAUUCACAUUCUGGGUAUAAUUUUCUUAUAAAAUAUUAAUUCCUUUUUAAAUGGUCAGGCAGAGAAAAACUUAAAGUUCAACAAAAGUAAUUACAGUAUAUUAAUUUACUUACUGUAAAUCGUGGCUAGAAAUUAUUUUUAAGCUGGUAUUUUUAAUAGAGUAACUGUUAAUUAUUCAUAAUACAUAGGUAUCUGAUUUGGACUAUCUUGUCAUGUCAUUAAAUUAAUCAUGAAUAUGUAUUUGUGAAGCAUUUUCAUAUCAAAUGAUUUACAGAUGCUUCUGCAAAUGCCUGUAAUGGAGUCUUUCACUAACAUUGCUGAGCUAAAUGCAUUUUCAAGAAAGAAAUCUUUAAAAUAACAUAGGAUGUAAGCAAAAUAAACCAAAUUUUAACAUGGAAACUUAUUUAAUAAGGAUUAUGAGAAAAAUAUUCAUGAAGCACAAAAUGAAAAGACUAUUAUUCAAAUAAAACAGAAACAGCUUCUAUUUCUGUAUACAGACAAAUGCCAUGAAAGGAAAAACAAAACAUUUGAAAGGGAAAUAAAACAGCUUCAGGUUUUCCCUCUUAUAUUUCCCUCAAUAUAAACAAUAGUAUAACUUCUAGAAAGUUAGGAGAGUUAUUACUAUUUAAUGCAACCAAUAGUCACAUCUAUUAAUAGAAUGGAAAUAGGAAUUGGGUAGUUGGAAAUCACACACACAGUGUUACAAAUUUCAGUUAAUUUAAUACUAUUUGAGAAAUGGACAGAAUAAAUAAUUAGAAUCUGUACUAAACUAACUCUCUCUAAUUUAAAGCAUUUAAAUUAUAUUCAUUGUAAAUCAAUUUAUUUCCAGGAGCCAAAAAUAAAGGAGAGGAUAAAAUAGAGAUAACAUCUUUCAGAAAAUGUAACAAAAUCCCCAAAAUGUGUAAGCUCUAUACCUUUAUUUCCUUCAUUCCUCAGUCAAGUAUUUAUCGAGAACCUAUUCUAUGAAUAAUUACAAGAUGAGAUAUCUUGUUAAAUCCUGCUCAGUGCAAUCAUACAGUGCACCACGAGGUAGCUAUCUCCCCUGGAUUACCUUUAGUCAAAAUCAUAAAAUAUAUUGAACUGAAAUAUUGCGAGUACUAUCUCUCACUAUCCAGAGACCAAAAUCCUGAGGUUUCUUGGUACCUUCCUCCACUCAGGUCAGGACACAGGCUCAGGAAGUUUCCUGAAGGCCCUUCCCAAAUCCAGCAUUUGUAAAUUUGUCCCCCUUUUAUUCAAGGUCUUUCUAUGUCACUGACUAGUUAACUGGGAAGAUUAAUUCCAGCUGUGAGGUGGUAAAGACAGAUAAUACUAUGCUUGUUAAAUUGCAGUCUGGACUGGGAGGGCAGCCAAAGCCACAGGACAAAUAUGGAGCAUUAGCAUUGAUUUUAAGCACUCUCCAAAUACUUCCAUAUACAUAAUCUUGAUUUUGCCCUAGAAAAAUCUUGUUAAAGACAAUGAUUUAUUUUUUUUGAAUACCUGAUUUCAAAUUGUAUUACCUUAAAUAUAAUGCAUUGAUAUUUCUCUUUGUAAUAUUCAUGUAUUGCAAGCUGAGAACCAAAAUUGUUUCAAGAAAUUGUAGGAUUAUUAUUUAGCAUAAAGUUUCUAUUAUUUUAAAAAAUCGGAGGUUGUGUAAUGGUGGUAACUAUGAAUUAUGAGAAGAAGGUUUUGUUCCAAGAAUAUCAGGAAUGACUGCUGAAUUGUAUCCUAUAUUAAGCCAACAGUC